GCCUCUGUGGUGUAGUGGUAGAACGCGUCCCCGGUAUGGAUGAAACGAGAGUUCAACUCCCGCCUGAGGUC
Non-coding RNA from Parelaphostrongylus tenuis, 71 nucleotides. Lineage: Eukaryota; Metazoa; Nematoda; Chromadorea; Rhabditida; Metastrongylidae. The record is from the annotation of a GenBank genome assembly.